RNAcentral lists this ribosomal RNA (549 nucleotides) under uncultured bacterium. RNAcentral's name for it is "partial 16S ribosomal RNA". It matches the Rfam family "Bacterial small subunit ribosomal RNA", at positions 356 to 896 of the family's 1533-position model. The record is from RNAcentral.
AGGGAAUCUUCCACAAUGGACGCAAGUCUGAUGGAGCAACGCCGCGUGAGUGAAGAAGGUUUUCGGACCGUAAAGCUCUGUUGUUGGUGAAGAAGGAUAGAGGUAGUAACUGGCCUUUAUUUGACGGUAAUCAACCAGAAAGUCACGGCUAACUACGUGCCAGCAGCCGCGGUAAUACGUAGGUGGCAAGCGUUGUCCGGAUUUAUUGGGCGUAAAGCGAGCGCAGGCGGAAGAAUAAGUCUGAUGUGAAAGCCCUCGGCUUAACCGAGGAAUUGCAUCGGAAACUGUUUUCUUGAGUGCAGAAGAGGAGAGUAGAACUCCAUGUGUAGCGGUGGAAUGCGUAGAUAUAUGGAAGAAUACCAGUGGCGAAGGCGGCUCUCUGGUCUGCAACUGACGCUGAGGCUCGAAAGCAUGGGUAGCGAACAGGAUUAGAUACCCUGGUAGUCCAUGCCGUAAACGAUGAGUGCUAAGUGUUGGGAGGCUUCCGCCUCUCAGUGCUGCAGCUAACGCAUUAAGCACUCCGCCUGGGGGAGUACGACCGCAAGGUUG